GACGAACGCUGGCGGCGUGCCUAAUACAUGCAAGUUGAGCGCUGAAGGUUGGUACUUGUCCCGACUGGAUGAGCAGCGAACGGGUGAGUAACGCGUGGGGAAUCUGCCUUUGAGCGGGGGACAACAUUUGGAAACGAAUGCUAAUACCGCAUAAAAACUUUAAACACAAGUUUUAAGUUUGAAAGAUGCAAUUGCAUCACUCAAAGAUGAUCCCGCGUUGUAUUAGCUAGUUGGUGAGGUAAAGGCUCACCAAGGCGAUGAUACAUAGCCGACCUGAGAGGGUGAUCGGCCACAUUGGGACUGAGACACGGCCCAAACUCCUACGGGAGGCAGCAGUAGGGAAUCUUCGGCAAUGGACGAAAGUCUGACCGAGCAACGCCGCGUGAGUGAAGAAGGUUUUCGGAUCGUAAAACUCUGUUGGUAGAGAAGAACGUUGGUGAGAGUGGAAAGCCCAUCAAGUGACGGUAACUACCCAGAAAGGGACGGCUAACUACGUG
RNAcentral lists this ribosomal RNA (497 nucleotides) under uncultured bacterium. RNAcentral describes it as "partial 16S ribosomal RNA". It matches the Rfam family "Bacterial small subunit ribosomal RNA", at positions 28 to 507 of the family's 1533-position model. The record is from RNAcentral.